This 642-nucleotide long non-coding RNA is filed under the name Brassica rapa (field mustard). RNAcentral's name for it is "long non-coding RNA (BRAP_LNC006335)". Lineage: Eukaryota; Viridiplantae; Streptophyta; Magnoliopsida; Brassicales; Brassicaceae. The record is from RNAcentral.
AUUUUAUAGUUACAAAACUCUAAUAAAACAAAUAUAAACAUUAUUAGUAAAAUAUGUUUUUUAUUUAAAAAUACAAAUUAUGAAAGAAACUACAAUUAGUUCUUAAUAAAAAAAUCAUGCUGCCAACUGUAUCAACAGAUUCGUCAUUCACCCUUAGAAGACACAUAUAGGAAUAAUUAAAUACUUUGGCAAAAAAAAAAAACAUUUUUGUGAUGAAGAUUCUUAGAUGAUGAUCGUUUUCUAUACAAACAUGCGGCACCUCUUCACCAUUGUUUUAAGAGUCAUUCUUGGGUUCACCCCCUAGGGUGAACCUCUAGGUUCACCAACCAAUAGGAUUUCAUUAUUUCAAAUUCGAUAUCUUUUAAAAAAGGAAACAAAAUAUUCUCAAAUUAUAUUAUGUUUUUAAAAUAAAUAAGUAAAAAAAGAUAAUAGUUACAGAAAAAAGAAUUAAAAAAAAUAUUUUUAAUGUUCUCAACAAAACACUAAGCCCUAAAUCCUAAUCCCUAAACCCUAAAUCCUAAGCCCUAAACCUUUGGAUAAACCCUAAACCCUUAGGUAAACCCUAAACCCUUGGGUAAACCCUAAACCCUUGGAUAAAUCCUAAACUCUAAAUAAAAAACACUAAAACCCUAAACCCUAAAC